GCCUUUGUGACAUAGUGGUUUCAGUGUUGGAUUAUGACUCUGGAGACUAAGGUUUGAUUCCCAGCUCAGGCA
RNAcentral lists this transfer RNA (72 nucleotides) under Phrynosoma platyrhinos (Desert horned lizard). Its description in RNAcentral is "tRNA-OTHER". Lineage: Eukaryota; Metazoa; Chordata; Lepidosauria; Squamata; Phrynosomatidae. The record is from RNAcentral.